Molecule: non-coding RNA, 23 nt
Filed under: Arabidopsis thaliana (thale cress)
Lineage: Eukaryota; Viridiplantae; Streptophyta; Magnoliopsida; Brassicales; Brassicaceae
Source: RNAcentral
UUCUCAUAGCAAUGCUUGCGAUG